AUUGAACGCUGGCGGCAGGCUUAACACAUGCAAGUCGAGCGGGGGAAGGUAGCUUGCUACCGGACCUAGCGGCGGACGGGUGAGUAAUGCUUAGGAAUCUGCCUAUUAGUGGGGGACAACAUCUCGAAAGGGAUGCUAAUACCGCAUACGUCCUACGGGAGAAAGCAGGGGAUCUUCGGACCUUGCGCUAAUAUAUGAGCCUAAGUCAGAUUAGCUGGUUGGUGGGGUAAAGGCCUACCAAGGCGACGAUCUGUAGCGGGUCUGAGAGGAUGAUCCGCCAAACUGGGACUGAGACACGGCCCAGACUCCUACGGGAGGCAGCAGUGGGGAAUAUUUGACAAUGGGGGGAACCCUGAUCCAGCCAUGCCGCGUGUGUGAAGAAGGCCUUAUGGUUGUAAAGCACUUUAAGCGAGGAGGAGGCUACUUUAGUUAAUACCUAGAGAUAGUGGACGUUACUCGCAGAAUAAGCACCGGCUAACUCUGUGCCAGCCGCCGCCGUAA
RNAcentral lists this ribosomal RNA (501 nucleotides) under uncultured bacterium. Its description in RNAcentral is "partial 16S ribosomal RNA". It matches the Rfam family "Bacterial small subunit ribosomal RNA", at positions 30 to 523 of the family's 1533-position model. The record is from RNAcentral.